Molecule: ribosomal RNA, 253 nt
Filed under: uncultured bacterium
Lineage: Bacteria
Description: partial 16S ribosomal RNA
Rfam family: Bacterial small subunit ribosomal RNA
Source: RNAcentral
CACGUAGGAGGCGAGCGUUGUCCGGAAUCAUUGGGCGUAAAGAGCGCGCAGGCGGCUUGGCAAGUCGGGUGUGAAAUCCCGGGGCUCAACCCCGUGACUGCAUCCGAUACUGUCAGGCUAGAGGUAGGUAGGGGAGAUCGGAAUUCCUGGUGUAGCGGUGAAAUGCGUUGAUAUCCACAGGAACUCCGGUGGCGAAGGCGGCACGCUGGACCCCCACUGACGCUGAGGCGCGAAAGCCAGGGGAGCGAACGGG